AUGGCCGAAGAGUCUAAUUGGAUUGUGACUCUAGUGAAGAGUCCUACUCAGACUAGGACUCUGACAGAGAGUCCCACUGAGACUGAGACUCUACUAUUUUUGAAAAAUUAAUUAGUAAUUAGAUUACUAGUUGACUCAAUUUGAUUGAGUAAAGAGCUUUGGAUCAAGUCUAACUAAAUUAGAUUCAGUUUGACUCUGAUUAGGUU
Molecule: long non-coding RNA, 206 nt
Filed under: Elaeis guineensis (African oil palm)
Lineage: Eukaryota; Viridiplantae; Streptophyta; Magnoliopsida; Arecales; Arecaceae
Description: long non-coding RNA (EGUI_LNC057320)
Source: RNAcentral